GACAAACAAGACCAAAUUAAGAUAAAUACAGUAAAAAAGGGGGUUAGAGGCUGAUACUUAGCCUAAAUGUGAAUAAAAUUCAGGCGCAACUGUUGUAACUUAAAAGGUCAUAUUUUCUGUAAAGGUGGAAUUUGUACAGAAUUGAGAAUCUAUUUCUUUUUUAUUUCGAGGCCCCGAAAUCUUGGUCUAAAACCGGGAUUAGAUACCCCGCUAUUCAAGAUGUAAAUUUUAAUUCUAAUACUUUACUUGAGUACUACGGGCUCUGUAAAUUUAAAAUUUAUGGAACAUACCUAAAACUCAAAAAACUUGGCGGUGCCUUAAAUCCUUUCAGGGGAACCUGUCCUAUAAUCGAUAGUCCACGAUUUACCUUUCCUUUUUUUGAAAAGUCAGCCUGUAUACCGUCGUCGCCAGAUUACCUCUAAAAGAAAAGAAGUUAUCAAUAAGGAAGAUAUAAGAUAAAUGGUAAUAACUUAACUACCUAAAACUCAUAAAUCCUAAACGUCAGAUCAAGGUGCAGCCAAUAUUAAGGAAGAGAUGGGUUACAAUAAAUAUUCAUUAAACGAAUUUCUUUUUGCAAAAUAAAAGUUUAAAGGCGGACUUGAAAGUAAUUAAAGAAAAAUAGCGAGUUCCGGUGAACAUGGCCCUAAGGCGUGC
Molecule: ribosomal RNA, 654 nt
Filed under: Lunella sp. ophiolite
Lineage: Eukaryota; Metazoa; Mollusca; Gastropoda; Trochida; Turbinidae
Description: partial 12S ribosomal RNA
Rfam family: Bacterial small subunit ribosomal RNA
Source: RNAcentral